Molecule: ribosomal RNA, 992 nt
Filed under: Enterococcus faecium
Lineage: Bacteria; Bacillati; Bacillota; Bacilli; Lactobacillales; Enterococcaceae
Description: bacterial SSU rRNA
Rfam family: Bacterial small subunit ribosomal RNA
Source: RNAcentral
GGGGACGUGGCGGCGUGCUAUACAUGCAGUCGAACGCUUCUUUUUCCACCGGAGCUUGCUCCACCGGAAAAAGAGGAGUGGCGAACGGGUGAGUAACACGUGGGUAACCUGCCCAUCAGAAGGGGAUAACACUUGGAAACAGGUGCUAAUACCGUAUAACAAUCGAAACCGCAUGGUUUUGAUUUGAAAGGCGCUUUCGGGUGUCGCUGAUGGAUGGACCCGCGGUGCAUUAGCUAGUUGGUGAGGUAACGGCUCACCAAGGCCACGAUGCAUAGCCGACCUGAGAGGGUGAUCGGCCACAUUGGGACUGAGACACGGCCCAAACUCCUACGGGAGGCAGCAGUAGGGAAUCUUCGGCAAUGGACGAAAGUCUGACCGAGCAACGCCGCGUGAGUGAAGAAGGUUUUCGGAUCGUAAAACUCUGUUGUUAGAGAAGAACAAGGAUGAGAGUAACUGUUCAUCCCUUGACGGUAUCUAACCAGAAAGCCACGGCUAACUACGUGCCAGCAGCCGCGGUAAUACGUAGGUGGCAAGCGUUGUCCGGAUUUAUUGGGCGUAAAGCGAGCGCAGGCGGUUUCUUAAGUCUGAUGUGAAAGCCCCCGGCUCAACCGGGGAGGGUCAUUGGAAACUGGGAGACUUGAGUGCAGAAGAGGAGAGUGGAAUUCCAUGUGUAGCGGUGAAAUGCGUAGAUAUAUGGAGGAACACCAGUGGCGAAGGCGGCUCUCUGGUCUGUAACUGACGCUGAGGCUCGAAAGCGUGGGGAGCAAACAGGAUUAGAUACCCUGGUAGUCCACGCCGUAAACGAUGAGUGCUAAGUGUUGGAGGGUUUCCGCCCUUCAGUGCUGCAGCUAACGCAUUAAGCACUCCGCCUGGGGAGUACGACCGCAAGGUUGAAACUCAAAGGAAUUGACGGGGGCCCGCACAAGCGGUGGAGCAUGUGGUUUAAUUCGAAGCAACGCGAAGAACCUUACCAGGUCUUGACAUCCUUUGAC